GAAUACGAACCGUGAAAGCGUG
RNAcentral lists this small nuclear RNA (22 nucleotides) under Arabidopsis thaliana (thale cress). RNAcentral's name for it is "snRNA_16580". Lineage: Eukaryota; Viridiplantae; Streptophyta; Magnoliopsida; Brassicales; Brassicaceae. The record is from RNAcentral.